GAUGAAGAACGUAGCGAAAUGCGAUAAGUAAUGUGAAUUGCAGAAUUCAGUGAAUCAUCGAAUCUUUGAACGCAUCUUGCGCUCCUUGGUAUUCUGAGGAGCAUGCCUGUUUGAGUGUCAUUAAAUUCUCAACUACACUGACUUUGAAUUGGUGUGGCUUGGAUUUGGGGGGAAAAUUGUUGUGGGCUUUUUGUAUAGUCUGCUCCCCUGAAAUUGAUUAGCGGUACCUUUGUGGAACUGUCUACAGGUGUGAUAAUUAUAUACAUCUUAGACAUCUGCUGGAAUGCUGCUUUCUAAACCUUACUUGUAUUGACAAUCUUGACCUCAAAUCAGGUAGGACUACCCGCUGAACUUAAGCAUAUCAAUAAGCGGAGGA
This 376-nucleotide unclassified non-coding RNA is filed under the name soil metagenome. RNAcentral describes it as "partial contains 5.8S ribosomal RNA, internal transcribed spacer 2, and large subunit ribosomal RNA". The stretch from base 1 to 120 matches the Rfam family "5.8S ribosomal RNA", at positions 35 to 154 of the family's 154-position model. The record is from RNAcentral.